CCUACGGGAGGCAGCAGUGAGGAAUAUUGGUCAAUGGGCGUAAGCCUGAACCAGCCAAGUCGCGUGAGGGAUGAAGGUUCUAUGGAUCGUAAACCUCUUUUAUCAGGGAGUAAAGGACGGGACGUGUCCCGUUUUGUAUGUACCUGAUGAAUAAGGAUCGGCUAACUCCGUGCCAGCAGCCGCGGUAAUACGGAGGAUCCGAGCGUUAUCCGGAUUUAUUGGGUUUAAAGGGUGCGUAGGCGGCCUGUUAAGUCAGCGGGGAAAUUCAGGGGCUCCAACAUCGAAGUGCCGUUGAAACGGGGAGGCUUGAGUGUGUGAGAGGCAGGCGGAAUGCGUGGUGUAGCGGUGAAAUGCUUAGAUAUCACGCAGAACCCCGAUUGCGAAGGCAGCAUGCCAGGGCAUGACUGACGCUGAUGCACGAAAGUGUGGGGAUCAAACAGGAUUAGAUACCCUUGUAGUC
This 460-nucleotide ribosomal RNA is filed under the name uncultured bacterium. RNAcentral's name for it is "partial 16S ribosomal RNA". It matches the Rfam family "Bacterial small subunit ribosomal RNA", at positions 338 to 795 of the family's 1533-position model. The record is from RNAcentral.